This 1363-nucleotide ribosomal RNA is filed under the name Actinomycetes bacterium. RNAcentral's name for it is "Actinobacteria bacterium partial 16S ribosomal RNA". Lineage: Bacteria; Bacillati; Actinomycetota; Actinomycetes. The record is from RNAcentral.
UCCACAAGGGUUGGGCCACCGGCUUCAGGUGUUACCGACUUUCAUGACUUGACGGGCGGUGUGUACAAGACCCGGGAACGUAUUCACCGCAGCGUUGCUGAUCUGCGAUUACUAGCGACUCCGACUUCAUGAGGUCGAGUUGCAGACCUCAAUCCGAACUGGGACCGGCUUUUUGGGAUUCGCUCCACCUCACGGUAUUGCAGCCCUUUGUACCGGCCAUUGUAGCAUGCGUGAAGCCCAAGACAUAAGGGGCAUGAUGAUUUGACGUCAUCCCCACCUUCCUCCGAGUUGACCCCGGCAGUAUCCCAUGAGUUCCCACCAUUACGUGCUGGCAACAUAGAACGAGGGUUGCGCUCGUUGCGGGACUUAACCCAACAUCUCACGACACGAGCUGACGACAACCAUGCACCACCUGUUCACCAGUGUCCAAAGAGUCCCGUAUUUCUACGGUGUUCUGGUGUAUGUCAAGCCUUGGUAAGGUUCUUCGCGUUSMWYSRAAUUAAUCCGCAUGCUCCGCCGCUUGUGCGGGUCCCCGUCAAUUCCUUUGAGUUUUAGCCUUGCGGCCGUACUCCCCAGGCGGGGAACUUAAUGCGUUAGCUGCGUCACGGAAACCGUGGAAUGGUCCCCACAACUAGUUCCCAACGUUUACGGGGUGGACUACCAGGGUAUCUAAGCCUGUUUGCUCCCCACCCUUUCGCUCCUCAGCGUCAGUUACGGCCCAGAGAUCUGCCUUCGCCAUCGGUGUUCCUCCUGAUAUCUGCGCAUUCCACCGCUACACCAGGAAUUCCAAUCUCCCCUACCGCACUCUAGUCUGCCCGUACCCACUGCAGGCCCGAGGUUGAGCCUCGGGAUUUCACAGCAGACGCGACAAACCGCCUACGAGCUCUUUACGCCCAAUAAUUCCGGAUAACGCUUGCGCCCUACGUAUUACCGCGGCUGCUGGCACGUAGUUAGCCGGCGCUUUUUCUGCAGGUACCGUCACUCUCGCUUCUUCCCUGCUAAAAGAGGUUUACAACCCGAAGGCCGUCAUCCCUCACGCGGCGUUGCUGCAUCAGGCUUCCGCCCAUUGUGCAAUAUUCCCCACUGCUGCCUCCCGUAGGAGUCUGGGCCGUGUCUCAGUCCCAGUGUGGCCGGUCACCCUCUCAGGCCGGCUACCCGUCGACGCCUUGGUGAGCCAUUACCUCACCAACAAGCUGAUAGGCCGCGAGCCCAUCCCAGACCGAAAAAUCUUUCCAACCCCCACCAUGCGAUGAGAGCUCAUAUCCAGUAUUAGACGCCGUUUCCAGCGCUUAUCCCAGAGUCCAGGGCAGGUUGCUCACGUGUUACUCACCCGUUCGCCACUGAUCCACCAAGCAAGCUUGGC